GUGUUUUAGCGUGUGUGUUUCUGGUCAUUCGGAUUUUCUUCUGUCUUCCUUUAGUAAACAUUCAUCUACGUCAGGUAAUAUUACAAAAAAUUAACAAAAAAAUAUGUUUUAAUUAAUUAUGGUAGAAUCAAGUAUCAAGAAAUGUUUUUUACUGAAUACUGUAAACCAACUUAUUUUUGCGAUACUUAUUUCGCGUUUUACCCUUUCUUGACCCUUUUGCGGCUAUUUAUUUUCGCGAUUUUCUGAUUUACUUGAUGAAGUUUAAUAAGGAAAGAUAAAAAUUUUAACAUAUUCUCUAUGAUUUAUAUUCGCGUUAUUUUUCUACUUGCGAAAAUCGCGAAAAAAAAUUUCGCAUGCGAAAAUAAGUUGGUUUACAGUAUUCCAGUGUAGAAUAUUUUUCAUGAUAAGAAUAUUUAAUAAUAUCAUUGGAAUUUUUAUGACUAAUGAUACAAAGAUCAAUCAGCCUUUUUUUAAAUUCUUGUACAUAUAAAAAGCCUGCUCUUCUUUUUAUAAUAUUCAUGAAAUUGAUGAGUUGCAAUUUAAAAUAACUUGUAAGCUCAUAUUUAUUUGUUUAUACCUUUUUAUAAUCAAAUAGAGAAAUGUACUAAUUUUAAGUUUUUUUUCAAUGUUACCAAUCAGCUCACUCUCUGUUAAACAGGUAGUGAAGUAAGUGAAAAUACUAGUGCUGUGAUAAAAGACACUGUCAUUCAUAAGGUUAGUAAAUCAAGGGAUACAGCCUGUAUGUGUAAAAACUUGGGGCUCCUAAACCUUCCAAGAAUCAGAUCAGUUUGAAUAGAAAUGUUUGGUUAGCUUAAAAGUGACAUGGUGAUUGUAUGCAAUUUUUAAACAUGUUUUUAUGCCCCACUUACGAUAGUAGAGGGGCAUUAUGUUUUCUGGUCUGUCCGUCUGUUUGUCCGUCCUUCCGUUUUUCCAUCCUUCCGUUCGUCUGUUCAUCCGUCUGUCCCACUUCAGGUUAAAGCUUUUGGUCAAGGUACUUUUUGAUGAAGUUGAAGUCCAAUCAGCUCGAAACUAAGUACACAUGUUCCCUAUGGUAUGAUCUUUCUAAUUUUAAUACCAAAUUAGAUUUUUUACCCAAUUUCACGGUCCAUCAAGCAUGAAAAAUGAUAGCGAGAGUGGGGCAUCCAUGUACUUUGGACACAUUUUUGUUGUGAAUAAAGGGGAUACACUAAAUGAGCCUCAUUGGUUCCAAUAUAAUUUUAUUUUUGUUUAGAGCUAUUCCAGAAAAAAAUGUAUGGGGGGGGGGAGUUGGAAGGCACAUUGUAUUAAUAAUACAUGGGUGAUGGGUAUCAGAGCAAGUUUUCACACUAUAAUGACUAUAAUUCUCAAUUACAAUUGUCUGGGUGACAGGUGCUGACAAAAACUGCCUUCCAACCCCCCCCCCCCUACAUUUUUUUCUGGAAUAGCCCUUAGCUGUCUCAUCAACAUAAAUGAUGUAUCUUGUUUAGUUGACAAUAACAAAAUUCUGGCACAAUUUAAUAUGUUUUCCAACUGAUUUAACCUAUAAAAGAAAGAAAGUAACCUUAUAUGUGUUGAAUCCACAGAUAAAGGAAUGUGUUAUGGUUAUUGAUAAUUUCAAUAUUUUAUUUCAGUGUUUUGAGACAACACUCCAGAUUCAGUAUAGUGGUGGUGAGGGAUUAACGGCAGGGUUCUGUCGACUCUGCUCUAUAGCUUUUACUGUAGAUAUUUUACCUUCUGUGAUAUUUGUAAACUGGGAUGUUCUUCCUGCUGAGAGGUAAGUGAAGCUAGAAUAGGAUAACAAUUACAGGAUACCAGUCCAGUAUUCAUCAAUGAAAUCCCUUAAUAAAUCUAUCAUAUUUUCACUGGGAUAUCGUACCAAAAGAAAGUUACUGAGGAUGCAUUAAGGAUGUACUUAGGUGAGGUUUGGGAAUUCCUGUCAAAUGUUCGGACUCCUUGGUGUUUUUCCACACAAAGUCAAUGCAAGGUAAAAUAUUUUGCCCCAUAACACCCAUUUAUUUUUUCAUAUAAGACUUAAUAGCUCAUGAAAGGUCAUUUACCAAAAUUUUAGAAGAUUCUUCACUAGAUUUUUUAUGCCCCACCUACGAUAGUAGAGGGGCAUUAUGUUUUCUGGUCUGUGCGUCCGUUCGUCCGUUCGUUCGUCCGUCCGUUCGUCCGUCUGUCCUGCUUCAGGUUAAAGUUUUUGGUCAAGGUAGUUUUUGAUGAAGUUGAAGUCCAAUCGACUUCAAACUUAGUACACAUGUUCCCUAUGAUAUGAUCUUUCUAAAUUUAAUGCCAAAUUAGAGUUUUUACCCCAAUUUCACGGUCCACUGAAUAUGGAAAAUGAUAGUGCGAGUGGGGCAUUCGUGUACUGAGGACACAUUCUUGUUUUCUUUUGUUUUGAGACCCAAAUAAUACCAAUGCAAAUGUAAUGUAAAAGUAUGAGUCAGCCUUUUCCCGCCAUAUUUAAAAUCUCAAAUAUCUCGAAAAGGAGGUCCAUAACCUAAUCAAUAUUUUAAUCUUAUUUCUAUCCUUAACGAAGGCUCUACCGGCUUAUAGUAUUAAUUUUAAAUUCUUGAUUUAUUAAUUUUUACCUAACCUCACCUAAGUACAUCCUUAAUAUUCAUUGGAUACCAAUUUUUUUAUGGAUUACGUGGAAACAGGGGAACCACGAAUUUAAAUAUUCAACAAACUACAAAUUUUCAUAUAGGGAGACAUUUCCAAAACCAUGAAUUUUAAUGUCCUUGAAAAAGGAAGUUGUCCUCAACCCAGGAAUAAUUGGUACCCACAAAUAAUAAAUGAAUCCACAGUAUGUACAAAAUGAUGUAAAAAGGCUUAAAUUUGUAGCAUAUUCAUAGGGUAUUCAUUAAAAUUACUUACAAGAGAGCCGUGGUGUAGUGGUUAGUGCAUCGUACUACUAACACAAAGGUUCCUGGUUCGAUUCCCGUCUGGGAUGAAAAUUUCAGGAACUGAAUUUUCGGCUCUCCCUUGACAUCAUUUGCGAGUAUGGUCUCGAGGAAAAGAUGAUAGUCCGUCGGAAGGGGACGAUAAAUGGCUGACCCGUGUUAAGAGAGAGCCAUAUCUCUUGCACGUUAAAGACACCCUUGUAGAUUUCGAAAAAGAGCAGGCUAAUGCCGCUACAAGGCAGCACUCGCAUCUGCAAAGUGGAAAGGGAUUAAUAUAAGUUGCAAAACUUGUUUCCCAAUCAACUAUAAAUAAAUAUGUUUAAACUAAAAUGACUAUUUAAAUAAGACAACUUUCCAACGGAGACCAAAUGACCUAGAAGUAAAAUGAGAAGUCACGUCUACAUAUGAUUCUAAUUGAAUAAAAUUUAUUGUUUAUAGUGUUUUAUGAUUUCAGUCAUUAUAGUCUCCUGUAAGAUGUAAUUCUUUUACCUAAUAAUGAAGACUAAUAAUUACAGAAUAAUUAAUUUUGUGGCAAUUGCCAUUGCAGCUCUACUGAGCUUUGAUUAUAGUUUGUCCUUAUGUUGUGCUGUGACACCACUGCUCCAUGUUAGAAGGUUAUGGGUCUGCAAACAUGAUUUAUUCCAUCACAUUAUGUAUGUAGGUAUAAGAAGAUGUGGUAUGUGUGCCAAUAAGACAAGUCUCCAUCCAAGUCACAAUUUGCAAAAGUAAACCCAUUAGCCAUUGCUUGACCCUUAUGUUUUGAUGUCCCAACUGCACUCUUAUCUUUAUAUUCCAGCCCUGACCAUUGUAUUUUGAUGUCAUGACCACACACAUAUCUUUAUAUUUCAGCCCUGACCAUUGCAUUUUGAUGUCUUGACCACACACUUAUCUUUAUAGUACAGCCCUGACCACUGUGUUUUGAUGUCUUGACCACAAAAAUAUCAUUAUAUUACAGCCCUGACCAUUGCAUUUUGAUAUCUUGACCACAUACUUAUCUUUAUAUUACAGCCCUGACCAUUACAUUUUGAUGUCUUGACCACACACUUUUCUUUAUAUUACAGCCCUGACCACUGUGUUUUAGUAUUUGAUGUUAAGAAUGUGAGUGGACAUCAGAUAGAUG
This 4002-nucleotide long non-coding RNA is filed under the name Mytilus galloprovincialis (Mediterranean mussel). Lineage: Eukaryota; Metazoa; Mollusca; Bivalvia; Mytilida; Mytilidae. The record is from RNAcentral.